Ictidomys tridecemlineatus (thirteen-lined ground squirrel) is the source of this 69-nucleotide non-coding RNA. NCBI's taxonomy places the organism in Eukaryota, Metazoa, Chordata, Mammalia, Rodentia, Sciuridae. The record is from Rfam.
GGGGUUGUGGCUCAGUGGUAGAGUGCUUGCCUUGCAUGUGUGAGGCACUGGGUUCGAUCCUCAGCACCA